AACCCAUGGUGAAGGUACCUUCUCAGUAAGUCCUUGUAUCUCUCCCAUACAUCAUUGAGUGUUUCUAAAUCCAUCUGCAAAAAAGAAGAGAUAUCAUUACGUAAUUU
Gossypium arboreum is the source of this 107-nucleotide small nucleolar RNA. It matches the Rfam family "Plant small nucleolar RNA R71". From Rfam's summary of the family: R71 is a member of the C/D box family of snoRNAs containing the C (UGAUGA) and D (CUGA) box motifs. Multiple nearly identical copies of this snoRNA have been identified in Arabidopsis, and it is thought to function as a 2'-O-ribose methylation guide for 18S ribosomal RNA. The record is from Rfam. NCBI's taxonomy places the organism in Eukaryota, Viridiplantae, Streptophyta, Magnoliopsida, Malvales, Malvaceae.